GACGAACGCUGGCGGCGUGCUUAACACAUGCAAGUCGAACGGAAAGGCCCUGCUUGCAGGGUCCUCGAGUGGCGAACGGGUGAGUAACACGUGGGUGAUCUGCCCUGCACUUCGGGAUAAGCCUGGGCAACUGGGUCUAAUACCGGAUAGGAGCCAUUUUUAGUGUGAUGGUUGGAAAGUUUUUUCGGUGUAGGAUGAGCUCGCGGCCUAUCAGCUUGUUGGUGGGGUAAUGGCCUACCAAGGCGGCGACGGGUAGCCGGCCUGAGAGGGUGGACGGCCACAUUGGGACUGAGAUACGGCCCAGACUCCUACGGGAGGCAGCAGGGGGGAAUAUUGCACAAUGGGCGCAAGCCUGAUGCAGCGACGCCGCGUGGGGGAUGACGGCCUUCGGGUUGUAAACUCCUUUCGCUAGGGACGAAGCUUUUUGUGACGGUACCUAGAUAAGAAGUACCGGCUAACUACGUG
This 465-nucleotide ribosomal RNA is filed under the name uncultured bacterium. RNAcentral's name for it is "partial 16S ribosomal RNA". It matches the Rfam family "Bacterial small subunit ribosomal RNA", at positions 28 to 507 of the family's 1533-position model. The record is from RNAcentral.